This 1404-nucleotide ribosomal RNA is filed under the name Eimeria hermani. RNAcentral describes it as "partial large subunit ribosomal RNA". It matches the Rfam family "Eukaryotic large subunit ribosomal RNA", at positions 94 to 1376 of the family's 3401-position model. Lineage: Eukaryota; Apicomplexa; Conoidasida; Eucoccidiorida; Eimeriidae. The record is from RNAcentral.
UCUGGUCCGGCAUGCUCAAGUGAAAUCGCAUAUCCGUUGUUUGGUUGUGCGAGUUGUAGCCUCUAGAGGCGUUGCCAGUGGAGGGGCAGGUCCAAGUUUCUUGGAAUAGAACUUCAGAGAGGGUGACAGUCCCGUCCUUUGUCCUGCUCUUUAAUCUCCACGUACGGUGCGCUUUUAUUGAGUCGCGUUCAUUGGGAUUUGAGCGCAAAAUGUGUGAUAAGUUUCACAUAAAGCUAAAUACUAGCGCGAGACCGAUAGAAAACAAGUACUGUGAAGGAAAGAUGAAAAGGACUUUGGAAAGAGAGUUAAAAGUGCCUGAAAUUGCUGGAAGGGAAGCGAUUGGAACCUUUGUUUCUCUUGGGUGCCAUUUGAGUUUUCUGGUCUACUUCUGUCUCGUUCCGUCACUGGAUUGGUCAGUUGUUGUUUGCACCAGUUUUCUCUAGUGUAAUCCCUUGGGUUGUGGUCAGCAUCAGCAUCAUAGAGUCUAUAUGACCUUAAGAAGGUAGGUCCCUUGUGGACUAUUAUAGCUUUCGGUUACGUAUUCUUGUUCUCUUUGAUGCCGAGGUGUGUUCUCGCGCGUUCAGUAGCUCCACUUUCGAGUACUUCUGUUCUGCGAUGCUGUCUCUAACGGUUUCAACCGACCCGUCUUGAAACACGGACCAAGGAGUCUAACAUAUGUGCAAGUAUGCGGGUGGUAAAAACCUGUAUGCGGAAUGAAAGUAAGAGUAGGGAGAAGUUGGUAUUUUAUAUCAUCUUCGCACCUACGACCGACCACGAUCUUAGAGAGAGGUUUGAGUUGUAGCACAUAUGUUAGGACCCGAAAGAUGGUGAACUAUGCCUGAGUAGGGUGAAGUCAGGCGAAAGCCUGAUGGAAGCUCGUAGCGAUACUGACGUGCAAAUCGUUCGUCAAACUUGGGUAUAGGGGCGAAAGACUAAUCGAACCGUCUAGUAGCUGGUUUCUUCCGAAGUUUCUCUCAGGAUAGCUGGAGUUCGAUAUUAGUUUUAUCAGGUAAAGCGAAUGAUUAGAGGCCUCGGGGGCGCGUCGCCCUCGACCUAUUCUCAAACUUUAAAUGGGUAAGAUCCAGUGGUUACUUCAUUGAACUGCUGGGGUUAAUAUGAACUCCAAGUGGGCCAUUUUUGGUAAGCAGAACUGGCGAUGAGGGAUGCUCCUAACGCUUGGUUAAGGUGCCUAAAUACUCGCUCAUGAGACACCAUAAAAGGUGUUGGUUCAUUUUGACAGCAGGACGGUGGUCAUGGAAGUCGAAAUCCGCUAAGAAGUGUGUAACAACUUACCUGCCGAAUGAACCAGCCCUGAAAAUGGAUGGCGCUGCAGCGAGUUACCGAUACCAGGCCAUUGCCACAAGUGUUUGUGAGCACUGGACUGUGUGGGCAAUAUUUUUUCCG